GUUGUAUGGUUAAGCGACCAAGCGUAUACGGUGGAUGCCUUGGCAGUCAGAGGCGAUGAAGGACGUAGUAACUUGCGAAAAGCGUUGGUGAGCUAGUAACAAGCAUUUGAGCCAGCGAUGUCCGAAUGGGGAAACCCGGCAGCAUAAGCUGUCAUCAAUACGUGAAUACAUAGCGUAUUGAGGCGAACGAGGGGAACUGAAACAUCUAAGUACCCUUAGGAAAAGAAAUCAACCGAGAUUCCCCAAGUAGCGGCGAGCGAACGGGGAUUAGCCCUUAAGUCUUUGGGGUGUUAGUGGAAUGUGUUGGAAAGCACAGCGGCACAGGGUGAUAGCCCCGUACACGUAAACUAACCAGAGAUGAAAUCGAGUAAGGCGGCACACGUGAUAUGUUGUCUGAAUAUGGGGGACCAUCCUCCAAGGCUAAAUACUCCUGACUGACCGAUAGUGAACCAGUACCGUGAGGGAAAGGCGAAAAGAACCCCUGUGAGGGGAGUGAAAUAGAACCUGAAACCGUAUACGUACAAGCAGUGGAAGCGGUCCUUGAGACCGUGACUGCGUACCUUUUGUAUAAUGGGUCAGCGACUUACAUUUAGUAGCGAGGUUAAGCGAAUAGCGGAGCCGUAGGGAAACCGAGUGUUAACUGCGCGUUUAGUUGCUAGGUGUAGACCCGAAACCCGGUGAUCUAGCCAUGGGCAGGUUGAAGGUUGAGUAACAUCAACUGGAGGACCGAACCGACUAAUGUUGAAAAAUUAGCGGAUGACUUGUGGCUGGGGGUGAAAGGCCAAUCAAACCGGGAGAUAUCUGGUUCUCCUCGAAAGCUAUUUAGGUAGCGCCUCGGACGAACACCUUUGGGGUAGAGCACUGUUAAGGCUAGGGGGUCAUCCCGACUUACCAACCCUUUGCAAACUCCGAAUACCAAAGAGUGCUAUCCGGGAGACAGACGGCGGGUGCUAACGUCCGUCGUCAAAAGGGAAACAACCCAGACCGUCAGCUAAGGUCCCAAAGUAAUUGCUAAGUGGGAAACGAUGUGGGAAGGCUUAGACAGCUAGGAUGUUGGCUUAGAAGCAGCCAUCAUUUAAAGAAAGCGUAAUAGCUCACUAGUCGAGUCGGCCUGCGCGGAAGAUGUAACGGGGCUAAGCAAUUCACCGAAGCUACGGGUACUGAUGCUUGCAUCAGUGCGGUAGAGGAGCGUUCUGUAAGCCGUUGAAGGCGAAGGGGUAACCCACGCUGGAGGUAUCAGAAGUGCGAAUGCUGACAUGAGUAACGAUAAAGGGGGUGAAAAACCCCCUCGCCGAAAGACCAAGGGUUCCUGUCCAACGUUAAUCGGGGCAGGGUGAGUCGACCCCUAAGGCGAGGCUGAAAGGCGUAGUCGAUGGGAAACGGGUUAAUAUUCCCGUACUUCUGCUAACUGCGAUGGAGAGACGGAGAAGGCUAGGCCGGCGCGGCGUUGGUAGUCCGCGUUUAAGGUAGUAGGUGGUGUGCUUAGGCAAAUCCGGGCACACAUACACUGAGAGCUGACGACGAGUCCCCAAGGGGAUGAAGUGGUUGAUGCCAUGCUUCCAGGAAAAUCUUCUAAGCUUCAGGUUAGUAGAAAUCGUACCCCAAACCGACACAGGUGGUCGGGUAGAGAAUACCAAGGCGCUUGAGAGAACUCGGCUGAAGGAACUAGGCAAAAUGGUACCGUAACUUCGGGAGAAGGUACGCUCCUGUUGGUGACGAGACUUGCUCUCUGAGCUGACGGGAGUCGCAGAUACCAGGUGGCUGCAACUGUUUAUCAAAAACACAGCACUGUGCAAAAUCGCAAGAUGACGUAUACGGUGUGACGCCUGCCCGGUGCCGGAAGGUUAAUUGAUUGGGUUAUCUUCGGAGAAGCUCAUGAUCGAAGCCCCGGUAAACGGCGGCCGUAACUAUAACGGUCCUAAGGUAGCGAAAUUCCUUGUCGGGUAAGUUCCGACCUGCACGAAUGGCGUAAUGAUGGCCACGCUGUCUCCAGCCGAGACUCAGUGAAGUUGAAAUUGCGGUGAAGAUGCCGUAUACCCGCGGCUAGACGGAAAGACCCCGUGAACCUUUACUAUAGCUUGGCACUGAACAUUGACCCUACAUGUGUAGGAUAGGUGGGAGACUAUGAAGAUGAGACGCCAGUCUUGUUGGAGUCAACCUUGAAAUACCACCCUUGUAGUGUUGAUGUUCUAACCUGGGCCCCUAAUCGGGGUUAGGGACAGUGCCUGGUGGGUAGUUUGACUGGGGCGGUCUCCUCCCAAAGAGUAACGGAGGAGCACGAAGGUUGGCUAAGUACGGUCGGACAUCGUACGGUUAGUGUAAUGGCAUAAGCCAGCUUAACUGCGAGACAGACACGUCGAGCAGGUGCGAAAGCAGGUCAUAGUGAUCCGGUGGUUCUGAAUGGAAGGGCCAUCGCUCAACGGAUAAAAGGUACUCCGGGGAUAACAGGCUGAUACCGCCCAAGAGUUCAUAUCGACGGCGGUGUUUGGCACCUCGAUGUCGGCUCAUCACAUCCUGGGGCUGAAGUCGGUCCCAAGGGUAUGGCUGUUCGCCAUUUAAAGUGGUACGCGAGCUGGGUUCAGAACGUCGUGAGACAGUUCGGUCCCUAUCUGCCGUGGGCGUUGGAUGAUUGAGGGGAGCUGCUCCUAGUACGAGAGGACCGGAGUGGACGAACCGCUGGUGUUCGGGUUGUCAUGCCAAUGGCAUUGCCCGGUAGCUACGUUCGGAAUCGAUAACCGCUGAAAGCAUCUAAGCGGGAAGCGAGCCCCAAGAUGAGUCAUCCCUAGGGCCUGGAGCCCUCUGAAGAGCCGUUCGAGACCAGGACGUUGAUAGGCAGGGUGUGUAAGCGUUGCGAGGCGUUGAGCUAACCUGUACUAAUGACUCGAGAGGCUUAACCAUACAACCCAGAUGGGUUUU
RNAcentral lists this ribosomal RNA (2916 nucleotides) under Shewanella algae. Its description in RNAcentral is "bacterial LSU rRNA". It matches the Rfam family "Bacterial large subunit ribosomal RNA". Lineage: Bacteria; Pseudomonadati; Pseudomonadota; Gammaproteobacteria; Alteromonadales; Shewanellaceae. The record is from RNAcentral.